GGAAAAGCUUCAUACCUUAAGAUUGCUCCCAGCAAUGAAGUACUGUGGCUAGAUUGUGACUUUCUCUUCUCCAGAAAGAGUAUCUUAUACUGUAGUCACUGGAAUACAUGCCCUGCCGCUAGGAGACAAGGACAGUGUGGUAAGCACAUCAAACAAACUUUGUUUCUGCUGAAGAGGUAGUUCUUGGUUUGUUGGCCUGAAGUAAGAGAAGCUUUUCAGUAGUAGUCUGAGACUGCAGUUUUCAUGAGAAAGGAGCAAGUCAAAGGAGAAGCCCAGAGCUGUGAUGUCAAGACCCCCUUCUUCAAAGGCAUCAGAAAACUAACAAGGCAGUAAAGAUCUUUAAGAAGGAGGAAAGCAGAGAAGAGAAUCCCAAAGACAGCUUCCCUGGGCAAGAAACUGACUCCCAGCCAGGGUCCCGGAUAUGCGGGGAUGCACGUGUGAGGAUGUUGUCGUCAAAAUAAACCAUUCUCGUCUUCUGGCAGAGGCUGGAUCUCCAAGGAACACUCUCCAAUCCUGGGAGCUUCAGUGAGAGGCUUGCUUUCUUGGCAGAGGCGGCAGUUGAGCUUCAUAUCUUCCCUGUGGGAUGGAAAAAAGGGACUGGAUUGUUGGUUGCAUUUUAAACUAGCUGACUGUUCUGCUUGGGGAAAUGUUGAGGAGGUGCUG
Molecule: long non-coding RNA, 663 nt
Filed under: Equus asinus (donkey)
Lineage: Eukaryota; Metazoa; Chordata; Mammalia; Perissodactyla; Equidae
Description: lncRNA (ENSEASG00005027399.1)
Source: RNAcentral